Molecule: ribosomal RNA, 120 nt
Filed under: Nothotsuga longibracteata
Lineage: Eukaryota; Viridiplantae; Streptophyta; Pinopsida; Pinales; Pinaceae
Source: RNAcentral
GGGUGCGAUCAUGCCAGCGUUAAUGCACCGGAUCCCAUCAGGACUCCGCAGUUAAGCGCGCUUGGGCUAGAGUAGUACUGGGAUGGGUGACCUCCCGGGAAGUCCUAGUGUUGCACCCUG